GAUGAAGAACGCAGCGAAAUGCGAUAAGUAAUGUGUAUUGCAGAAUUCAGUGAAUCAUCGAAUCUUUGAACGCACAUUGCGCCCCUUGGUAUUCCGAGGGGCAAGCCUGUUCGAGCGUCAUUAUAACCCCUCAAGCUCAGCUUGGUGUUGGGGCCUGCUGCACUGGCAGCCCUUAAAAUCAGUGGCGGCGCCAUCUGGCUCUAAGCGUAGUAAUUCUUCUCGCUAUGGAGUCCUGGUGGAUGCUUGCCAUCAACCCCCAAUUUUUCUAUGGUUGACCUCGGAUCAGGUAGGGAUACCCGCUGAACUUAAGCAUAUCAAUAAGCGGAGGA
RNAcentral lists this unclassified non-coding RNA (329 nucleotides) under soil metagenome. RNAcentral's name for it is "partial contains 5.8S ribosomal RNA, internal transcribed spacer 2, and large subunit ribosomal RNA". The stretch from base 1 to 120 matches the Rfam family "5.8S ribosomal RNA", at positions 35 to 154 of the family's 154-position model. The record is from RNAcentral.